CUUCGGAAGGGAUGUAUUUAUUAGAUUAAAAACCAAUGCCCUUCGGGGCUCACUGGUGAUUCAUGAUAACUCCUCGAAUCGCAUGGCCUUGUGCCGGCGAUGGUUCAUUCAAAUUUCUUCCCUAUCAACUUUCGAUGUUUGGGUAUUGGCCAAACAUGGUUGCAACGGGUAACGGAGGGUUAGGGCUCGACCCCGGAGAAGG
This 202-nucleotide non-coding RNA is filed under the name Fusarium oxysporum f. sp. cubense race 1. RNAcentral's name for it is "Eukaryotic small subunit ribosomal RNA". It matches the Rfam family "Eukaryotic small subunit ribosomal RNA", at positions 190 to 392 of the family's 1831-position model. The record is from Rfam by way of RNAcentral. Lineage: Eukaryota; Fungi; Ascomycota; Sordariomycetes; Hypocreales; Nectriaceae.